UCACAACCACUUGUUUCCCUACGCCUUGUUCUUCAGAGCUCACACACAACAUUGAUUCAACCCAUUGCCCAAAAAAGACACUCAAACGAGAAAAAUGAACCAAAACAGAGAUGGGAUUUCCUCCUCUUUCUCAUGCUUGCCUGAAGGCUGCGUGUCCAAUAUCAUAUCUUUGAUGGCAUCUCCCAAAGAUGCAGGCAGAGCAUCUCUGGUUUCGUGGGAAUUCAAGUCUGCUUCGGAAUCUGACACCAUUUGGGAACAAUUCUUUCCUGCGGAUUAUAAGGAGAUCAUUUCAAGCUCCGCUAGUCCUCCCCUUAGCUGCGCUACCAAGAAAGAAUUGUUCUCUCAUCUUUGUCACUGCCCAAUUCUCAUUAAUGAUGGCACAAUGAGCUUUUGGCUGAGCAGAUCUACUGGAAAAAAAUGUUACAUGCUGUGUGCAAGGAAGCUUGCAAUUGUAUGGGCAGAUGUUCCUCGGUACUGGAAAUGGACACCCUUUCCUGAAUCAAGGUAUAUCUGUUUUCCAUCAGCAUUCUCGAUUAAUUUUACUUCAUUUUAUUAUUCUUUUUUUUUUGAAGGGGAUCAACAGUGGUUACCCGCUUUCCCCCUUGAUGACUUGAACCCGUGACCUAACACAGGUUUCCUCAGGUAGCUGAGCUGGUACAUGGUUUUUGGCUUGACAUUCAAGGCCAGAUGCCGACUCGUCUGCUGUCUCGGAGGACUACUUAUGCUGCCUACCUUGUGUAUAAAAUUACAGAAUGGCCAUAUGGGCUCACAAAAGCUGCAAAGGCCUCAAUUUCUUUUGGAGGAGGCAGCAGCACUAGUGGUGCUAGCUUUGUUGUUGAGCCAGAGAACAACUCUGUCUUCUUGGAACCACUCCCGUUCUGGCAUUAUUAUCCACCUGGGCAGGAUGAGAUUGUUGGUCGCUUUCCACGGCUGAGAAAAGAUGGAUGGCUGGAGAUUUCUCUGGGGGAGUUUUACAAUGAUGAAGGUGAUGGUGAUAUUGAGAUGCACCUUUGGGAACCUGAUGCUCUUGACUGGAAAAAUGGCCUCAUCAUUCAGGGGAUUGAGAUUCGUCCUUGGGUUGAUCUGUGAUACUCUGAUAUCAAAUGUUUGUCAAAAUUACAUAUGUUUAGCAUUUGAUUGGUUGCAUAGAAAAUUCAUAUGUAAUUCUGGCUUACUUAAGAUCAUAUCACAAGCAUUUAAGUUGAAUUCCAGGAAGUCGGGAAGGGAAAAGUGUACUCACUGCAGAUCAUGAUACAAAUUAUUAUGUAUUGUGAAUUAUGUAACACUUGUAUCUGAGAACCUCUCACCCUUUUAUCAAUGGUCUAUAAUCUCUUUUAUAGAUUAA
Molecule: non-coding RNA, 1345 nt
Organism: Coffea arabica (coffee)
Lineage: Eukaryota; Viridiplantae; Streptophyta; Magnoliopsida; Gentianales; Rubiaceae
Source: RefSeq, a predicted model, not a curated record